UGGUGGGGGCUAUACAUGCAGUAGAACGCUGAAGAGAGGAGCUUGCUCUUCUUGGAUGAGUUGCGAACGGGUGAGUAACGCGUAGGUAACCUGCCUUGUAGCGGGGGAUAACUAUUGGAAACGAUAGCUAAUACCGCAUAACAAUAGGUGACACAUGUCAUUUAUUUGAAAGGGGCAAUUGCUCCACUACAAGAUGGACCUGCGUUGUAUUAGCUAGUAGGUGAGGUAACGGCUCACCUAGGCGACGAUACAUAGCCGACCUGAGAGGGUGAUCGGCCACACUGGGACUGAGACACGGCCCAGACUCCUACGGGAGGCAGCAGUAGGGAAUCUUCGGCAAUGGGGGCAACCCUGACCGAGCAACGCCGCGUGAGUGAAGAAGGUUUUCGGAUCGUAAAGCUCUGUUGUAAGUCAAGAACGAGUGUGAGAGUGGAAAGUUCACACUGUGACGGUAGCUUACCAGAAAGGGACGGCUAACUACGUGCCAGCAGCCGCGGUAAUACGUAGGUCCCGAGCGUUGUCCGGAUUUAUUGGGCGUAAAGCGAGCGCAGGCGGUUUGAUAAGUCUGAAGUUAAAGGCUGUGGCUCAACCAUAGUUCGCUUUGGAAACUGUCAAACUUGAGUGCAGAAGGGGAGAGUGGAAUUCCAUGUGUAGCGGUGAAAUGCGUAGAUAUAUGGAGGAACACCGGUGGCGAAAGCGGCUCUCUGGUCUGUAACUGACGCUGAGGCUCGAAAGCGUGGGGAGCGAACAGGAUUAGAUACCCUGGUAGUCCACGCCGUAAACGAUGAGUGCUAGGUGUUGGAUCCUUUCCGGGAUUCAGUGCCGCAGCUAACGCAUUAAGCACUCCGCCUGGGGAGUACGACCGCAAGGUUGAAACUCAAAGGAAUUGACGGGGGCCCGCACAAGCGGUGGAGCAUGUGGUUUAAUUCGAAGCAACGCGAAGAACCUUACCAGGUCUUGACAUCCCGAUGCUAUUUCUAGAGAUAGAAAGUUACUUCGGUACAUCGGUGACAGGUGGUGCAUGGUUGUCGUCAGCUCGUGUCGUGAGAUGUUGGGUUAAGUCCCGCAACGAGCGCAACCCCUAUUGUUAGUUGCCAUCAUUCAGUUGGGCACUCUAGCGAGACUGCCGGUAAUAAACCGGAGGAAGGUGGGGAUGACGUCAAAUCAUCAUGCCCCUUAUGACCUGGGCUACACACGUGCUACAAUGGUUGGUACAACGAGUUGCGAGUCGGUGACGGCAAGCUAAUCUCUUAAAGCCAAUCUCAGUUCGGAUUGUAGGCUGCAACUCGCCUACAUGAAGUCGGAAUCGCUAGUAAUCGCGGAUCAGCACGAGGGGGUGAAUGCGUUCCGGGGCCUUGUAGGCGCCUCCCGUCGCCCCAGGGGGGGUUCCACAGCGGACCUGGAGAGGUCACAGUUUGGAGGCAGAGGCUUUAAGGUGGAAUGGC
This 1445-nucleotide ribosomal RNA is filed under the name Streptococcus vestibularis. Its description in RNAcentral is "bacterial SSU rRNA". It matches the Rfam family "Bacterial small subunit ribosomal RNA". The record is from RNAcentral. Lineage: Bacteria; Bacillati; Bacillota; Bacilli; Lactobacillales; Streptococcaceae.